Molecule: long non-coding RNA, 41308 nt
Filed under: Sorghum bicolor (sorghum)
Lineage: Eukaryota; Viridiplantae; Streptophyta; Magnoliopsida; Poales; Poaceae
Description: long non-coding RNA (SBIC_LNC015288)
Source: RNAcentral
UCCAAUCCACUCUGGCAGCACCGUCAGUGCAGGACCUGAUGACAGUUCGAGAUGUUCAAGCGAGGUGAGGUGCUGAAUCGCCUCUGGGAACUGCUUCAAAUCGCCCAUUCCCAGUUCAAGGUGUCGCAGAGAAUGCAGUUCUCCAAGCCAGUCAGGCAACGUGCCAACGGCGGGGCAUUCGUAGAUGCGGAGACGCUCGAGAGAGGUGAGGUUCCGCAUGCUCUCUGGUAACUGUGUCAGGUCAUUGCAGGUGAAAAUACACAACUCUUUCAGCUUAGUGAAAGGCUGCAGCAGUUCCCAGCCAGAUGAUGAUCCUGUAACUUUGCUUAGCCCUAGACUCUUGAGGCGAGGGACCGACGCAUGCAUGCUGGGCAGCUGAUGGGAGAACCUUCCAGUGGAUAGCAACUGCCCAUUGGUUCUGACUAAAAUCAUAUGCUCCAACGAUGGGGGAAAGUAGGGGCUCACAUUUAAUUUUGGGCAGCCAUAUAUGUGUAGACUGGACAGGACAGGGAAAAGAUGUUGUGCUGCCAAUUCUUUCUCCCCAGUUUCAAAACCACUUGAUGUAGUCCACAGCUCCUCUAAAUUAGGCAUGUUCCCCAGCACAAGGGUCUUCAGUGAAGGCAACUCAACAAAUCCUCUCAUAUGCCUCAAGUUUGGAAAUCUUACUAGCGCUAACCAAGUUAGACAAAGGAAAUGGGAUGUGAUAGUUUGCUUCAGCAUUAUGCCACCUUCACAAUAUGAAGAAUCAUUUUGCUUCAUCAUCCAUCCUGGCAAGCAGGGGCCUCUGUAACCAAAGAUCUCCAACAUCUCAAUUUGAGAUGGUGGUUCAAGAGCGUUCAGCACACCCCAAUCAUGUUCCAUAUCUGACACCAACUCUUCUUCAGAAUCACUUAAAGACCAGUUCAGCUCCAAGUGUUGUAUGUUACUCUUCCGCUUCAAGCAAGCCUUCUCUGCAUCACUUGGAUCCUUCAAAUACUUAAGGUUGGUAAUUUCCAAGCGACCACCUAUCAUAUCAAGGUUUUCUAGCUCUGAGAUCCUCGCAUCAUCUGCACCACACCCAACAACAAACAAUCCCAGCUUUCUUAAACGGGUCAGCUGUUCCAACCCUGAUGGUAAGCAACACAGUUCACUACAAUGCUCUAUGUCCAAAACUGCGAGCCUUUUCAAGUUUGCUAUUUCCUUAGGCAACUCCCGUAGCUCCUUGCAUUCCUGAAGGUCAAUACAUUCCAGAGUAUCAAUUGAUGUAACCCAUUGAGGUAGCAUGGUAACUUUGGUUCUAGAAAGGUUCAGAGUACGCAAUGUAGGACAGGAUAAUGUGCUUGGCAGGUCUUGCAAACCCGUACAACCAUUAAAGUUGAUAGUUCGCAAGUUUUUGAACUCCCCAAUGAUGUCUGAUGGUAGUUGUUGCAGAGAUGAACAGUACUCUAUAUCAAGUACACAUAGGUUUCCAAUUCUACCUAAAGAGCUUGGUAUCUCUCGUUGUUUUCUGCACAUAUAUAGUUGCAAGGACUGAAGAACAUAACAAUCACCAAUGGACUGAGGCAAACUCUCAAGAUCAGUAAUGCAACGCAACUCUAGAGUCCUUAGCUUCCGAAGCGUUCCAACAGACUCAGGUAAUGUCACGAAACCUUUGCAGUUAACAAAAUGGAGCGACUGCAGGUUCCAACACCUCGAGAUAGCUUCCGGAACUGUUGUACAACUAACAUUAUGGAUUUCAAGAUACCCAAGAUACUCAAACUUUAAUAUGAAUAGUGAAAACGGAGUAUCAAUUGCAUAGUCCAAAACAACACUGCGCAUACAACAACUAUUCUUCACUGUGGUAUCAACAGAUGGCUUACUGUCAGAGAUAUAUAGAGCACGAACCUUGUCAAAUAAGCCCUUGUCAACAUUCUCAGUGAAUGAACUCAAAGAUAAAUAUCUAUACCUAUGAGUAAAUUCUUCUGUUGUAUGAAUUGGUACACAAGUCACCAGUUCAUCCUUUAGUAUCUGACGAGUGAGAUCAUGGAUCAAAUCAUGCAUGUUGUAUAUAUCAGUAUUCCUGCUCCCAUAAGCUUCCUGAAGAAAUCUGACUUUUACAAGAGAAUCUAAGUAGUCUCUUCCGACAUCUUCGAGUUGCUCUCCAUUCAUUGCAUUGAUGAAUCCAUGAGCUAUCCACUGGGCAAUCAAACGAUCUUUCUGGAUUCCAUAGCCCUUCGGGAAUAUGGAGCAAAACGUAAAGCACUGCUUCAGUUCAUCUGCCAAGUGAAUAUAGCUCAACUUCAAGGAUGCAAACACUCUGUCUUUUAUACUCUGAACCUUCCAUAAAUUAUUCUCUCGUAUGGCCCUCCACGUACUUAUUUGCUUCUUGUCACAAAGGACUGCUCCAAGAGUCUGAAUCGCUAACGGCACCCCACCACAUCCCUUGAUAAUCUCUUUUCCGACUUGUACCUCAUCGCAGCUCAAAUCUUGCUCUGCCAACCCAGAACCCUUCAGGAAUAAGUUCCAACUCUCAGACUCUGAUAAGAAUGCCAACUCAAAUGUAUAUCUUGAUUCCACAGCUUGUGCAACCUUUCGAUCACGAGUGGUUAACACAAUCCUUGUUUCAGGUGCGCCACAUUUUAGCUGCACCAUGAACUGUUCCCAGUCAUGUCUGUCCUCAUGCCAAGCAUCAUCAAGGAUAAGAAGAAACUUCUUAUUGCUCAACUUCUCGGAGAUUUUUUGGACCAUGUGCUGUGGGGGAUGACGAUCUGAAUUAUCUCCAACAAUCGUUUCAAAUAGCUUGCCGAUGAGCUUCUGAACAUCAAACUCUUGAGACACAUGGACCCAGAAUAUUUCACCUCCAAAGUGCUCCUUUAUCUUGACGUCAUGGCAAAUGUGUUUGGCCAAAGUAGUUUUGCCUGACCCCCCUAAUCCGAUGAUAGAAACUAUCAUGUUGUUCUCUCCAGCAUUACAUUCUACAAGCUUAGAUAUGAUUUCAUCCUUUUCUUGAUCCCUAAGGGGUAUUUUGGACUCUGGAACCUUGCUCAACCAGGUCAUCUCUCCAACUGUCUUGUACCUAGCACCAACAUGUUGAUCCCUUGUUGGAACUAAAGUAUUGAAAUCACUUCUUUGCUUGACGAUUGCAGCAAAUCUAACCUUGAUUGCCUUGAUCUUAUGAGCCAUCUUGUAUCGGAAUGCAAAUGACUUUGGUUUUGCACAGAAGCAACCGGCUAUACCACUCUUGUCAUCAUCUCUUUCCAUCUUCUGUUUCUCAGCUUCUAGCUGGACUUCUUGUAGUAUAUCGUCAAUGUCAUAAGCCACAUCUUUCAAUUUUAUCACCCAGUGAGACUGUGUCUCACUCUGUAUUGCUCUGUCAUACGCUGCCGACAGCCAGCCUGUAAUGUCUGCGUGUAUAUCCUGGAGCUGGCAGAGAUCUCUUUUUACACCGGCUAUGGCAGCAAACUCAGUGGCUAACAGUGAAACUAGCUUGUCACCUGCAGCCUUCAACACUCCAGAUGCUAAAGCAGCCUCCAUCCCACUCAUUAUGUCAAAGAAACUGUUGCCUAAACCCCUGCAGAUGAAAUUGAAAAACAAGCGGUUAGAUUGAGUUUCGCAAAUCCAAAACUAGUUAGGUGGCAGCAGUAAUGUUUCUUAGGAAAAAUAACUUUUUAGGAAAUGUGGCGGCAGAAAUGUUCCAAUAAUAAUUCUCAACUCUGGAAUAAAUUAACGGCCGACAAAAUAUCUGAGAGUUACAGGCCACGCCGCCGCCCGGUCCAGACGCGGCGGCCAUGUCCUCUCUCUAGCGCCAGGCCAGCUGCAGCACCCUGCUGCCAUGCAGCCUGCCCUAGGGGGCUGUUGUUCCUCCCAUCUAAUCCCCUCUGACUCCCCCAAUCUACCCUCUAAUUAAGUGAAGUCACCCCAGAUGGGACAUGUACAACAUGAGUGAUUUGCAGAUUAUAUGUUUCGAACGAAAUGGACAAAUAUUGUCCGUAUCGGCUAAAUAUCUUAUAUGGAUAACACAAAAAGUCAUUUGGAUGCUGGAAAAUAGAUCUACUAGACCGAUCGGCGUGAAAACAAAUGGAAAAUUAAUUUGCAUACCAGGUGAACGAGGACACACACAGCAGAAGCAGCAGAGCACCGACAGUAUGACACUUUGAUGCAACCAGAUAAGGGGCUUUUUGUUCUUCUUCUUGUGAAAGAGGUGAAGGGAAUCAGUAUGCUUGACGCUCACUGGGAUUGACACAAAAAAAAAAGAAUGAGUUGGUCAUCGAAGAAAUUCUAGGAUUAACAGAAAAAAAACGUGAGUUGGUGAUUGAAGAAAAUGACCAGGGGAGAAAGCGGGAGGAGAUGUGAGGAAUUAGAUUGUGCGUGUUGUGUUAGGCUUAAACCAAAGCAGAUUAAGUACCUAAACUCAACAACUGCGGCGAGGCUACAACCCAACGAGAAAGAGGAAAUGGAAUUUCGGUGCUUCAGCUUCACUCGAGGAUGCAAAGAAACCUGCAGAUCUGAAAGGCAGGUGGGUGAUGAAGAAAAUGAGCAGGUGGUUGAACCCAACGAGAAGGAGAAACGGGAUUCAGGCAAAGGUCAUCCUCAUUACCUCGGUCGCGUCGGCGGCGGCGACGACGACGAGAGGCCUCCCGCCCCUAGUCGGGUUGUGCGCGGAGGUCGAUGGUCAGUGAACUCACUGCUCACUUCUCACGCGCAUCGAGACUCCACGGAGACGAACUCGAUUGCGACUGAGCACCGGACGAUGCUAGUCGACUGAGUUGGGUGGUGGAUCCCGGCGGCCACUGUGACAGCAUGAUUGCUUUUCGCCGAAAGCGCGUGGCAAGAGCAUCCACUUCAGUGGAUCCAGAAAAUCCAUCCUCUUUCCCUACAAAGUGUUGGCUAGUUUAGUUCCAAUUUUUUUUGGUAAAUUAUAUUUAGGCCUUGUUUAGUUCCAAAAAAUUUUGCAAAAUUUUUCAGAUUCUCCGUCACAUCGAAUCUUUAGACAUAUGCAUGAAGCGUUAAAUAUAGACGAAAAUAAAAACUAAUUACACAGUUUUAUCAGAAUUGACGAGACGAAUCUUUUGAGCCUAGUUAGUCCAUGAUUGGACAAUAUUUGUCAAAUACAAACGAAAUUGGUACUAUUCACAUUUUGCAAAAUAUUUUGCAAGUAAACAAGGCCUUAACAAAUAUUGUUAGGCUCAAAAGAUUUAUCUCGUAAAUUAUAUUUAAACAGUGUAAUUAGUUAUUUUUUAUCUAUAUUUAGUGCUUCAUGUAUAUACCGCAAGAUUUGAUGUGACAGGAAAAUCUAAAAAAUUUUGUUGGGAGUAGUUCACCCAAAAAACCAAAAACUUUUUCAAGAUUCCCCGUUACAUUGAAUCUUGUGGAACAUGAAAUAUAGAUAAAAAAAAUUAAUUGUAUAGUUUAGGCCUUAUUUAGAUCAAAAAGUUUUUGGAUUUUGACACCGUAGCACUUUUAUUUUUAUUUGAAAACAUUAUCCAAUAAUAGAGUAACUAGACUUAAAAGAUUCGUCUCGCGAUUUACAGACAAAAUGUGCAAUUAGUUUUUGUUUUCAUCUAUAUUUAAUGCUUAAAGCAUGUGCCGCGAGAUUCGAUAUGACGGAGAAUCUUGAAAAGUUUUUGGUUGUCUGGGUGAACUAAACAAGGUCUUAGCUGUAAUUUGUGAGACGAAUCUUUUGAGCCUAAUUAAUCCAUGGUUGGAUAAUAAAAUAAAAGCAUUACAGUACCUAUAACUUUUUACCUUCUCAACUAAACGGCCUUACAAAUAAUAAAAGGGGUUAAUUUAGGAAGAAAAAUAAGCUCUAACAUAUUCUCUUUCUAGUACUCUUCCUUGAACUUUUUUUUUCAAUCUCCCAAAAUCUUCCUCUCCCUUAAACUUUCCAUCAUUGUGAUUGAUCCACAAAAAAAUCCAUGUGAACUGCAAAAAGAUGUUGUGGCAGAGUUUAGAAUCAAGGAGAGCUUAUAAACAGAUUUUAAUUCAUGGAUCAGCAGCCUAAUUUUGGACUCUUGACCGGAGACUCUGUAAUUUUAUUUUUAUCUCUUUUGGUGUGCCUUGAGGCCCCUUUUUACUUACUUCUGCACUUUUUUGUCUCUUUUUUAAAACUUCAUUAUUUCAAUAAAAUCCCUGUAGGCGCUGAGACACCUCUAGUUUCCUAAAAAAAACCCAAAUAAAUCUUGCCUAUUUUUCAAACCUAGCUUCUAAUUACGUCAACUCAAUUUUAUACUUUCAAAGUUAUCUCAUAGACAACUGAAAAGAAUUAACGAUAGCAAAAUACUUCAAAUCAUUACAUGUAUACUUUAUUUAUUGACAAUAGCUAGUUCAUCAGUUGUUCAUCAAUUGUUCAUCCAAUGUGCAUCUGGUUAGUCUCACUGAGUUGAUAUGGUGUUUGGUUGCUUUGCGUGAGAACAUAUGUUGCAAGAUACUCCUAUAAAUUAGGCAAUAAACAUAAUCACGAUAUUUUUUAUACAUGCAACUAUCUUUUAUUGCUCUUCAUUUAUUAUAUUAUUAUCCCUUAAUAUUUUUUAAAAGAAAUACACUAAUACCAAUUAAUACAUGCUAGUCGUGCACUGGUAAUGUCAUUAUCUAGAUAACUGGUGUCAAACGACAGCCUGGAGAAGAACAAGAAAUCUAUGGUUUUUUGACAUACUUUUUAUGUCAAAAUAUAUAGAAUAAAUGUCACAACUUAAGGUUUUUGACAUUCAGUUGACAAAAAUUCAAACGUCAAAAAACUCGCGUCACAAAGUGAUCAUGUGACGUUUAUACAUUCAGUGUCACAAGCUUAUGACAUUGGGUUUUAGUGUCAUACAGAUUUAUGACUUUGGUUUAUCGUCAUAAAAUCUUAAGCCUUGCCACAUGGGCAAAUGCCAUGUAGGAUCAAAAGCUGACAUGGCAGGAAAAAAAACGUCACAAAAUAAGUCUUGGUCUGCUAAAACCCACAUACCAGACAGCCCUCCAUAGGUCACAAGAUUUUUUGGGCCCAUAUUUCCUGGGCCAUUGUUUUAGUUCAUUUAUUAUUGGCCCACACAAUUUCAGCCUGUACAAAUUUUUUCACAGCACACAAUUGAACCCAUAUAUUUUUUCAGCCCAAAAUAUUUUCAGCCCAUACAAAUAUCUCCACAUGAUUGCAAUAUCACAAGCACUUCACAUGUCUUAAAAUACAACACAUUACAUCCAUCCACCAAUUCAACACACAGUCUCAAUAUCUCAAAUUAUAACUUGCUAUAGUAGCACCAGCGGUAGCAGCAGCGGUAGCACCAAUAGUGCAAUUGCCACCAAAAUAGCAUCUUUAUCCUUCUAGACACAUAUGUUGCCAAAAUGAGCCUAAUGCAGUUAGACAGCUUACUACUGAGGAUCAGGUGAUGCAAACUUGUUGCCAAACAAGGUCCGAAGGAAACCUUGGAUUUCAAGGCCUUGCUGUUUCAGCUUCUCAGUUUCUUCUUCGUUCUUCUUGCUGCUUCUUCAUUCUUCCUUGCUGCCUCUUUCUGAUCCUCUAAUUGCUUCUGCACAUCAGCCAGCUGUGAUCUUAGUCCAUCUGAUCCCUUCUUCUCAGCUUGCAAUUCACUCUCAAGCUCAUUCACACGAUCAUUCAUUGCAGCAGCUUUGGCAUUUCUCUUCAUCGCUGCGGACUGCAUGCCAACAUUGUGAAGGAAAGUUGAUUUUGGCAUAACAUGAGCUAUAGCUUGAACAGGAGUCUUUGGAUCUUGCCCUUCUUCCGUUGGUUCAGCAACGUAGGCCUCCAUUUGAGCCUAGCAACAAUAGCACCAAAAAAGUUAGAUUUCAGCACUAGUUAUGUAUUUCUAGAACUCAUGUCUAUAGGUAAAGCAACAUAGUGGAAGAAAUGGAAUGGUAUCUAUCGAGUGGAACCUUCUAUGCUAUAUAUGAAAUGAUCUUCCAUGUUGUUGUAAAGAAUUGUGUACUCAUUUUUCUUUUGAUUUAUUUCUCUAAACAUGCUAAACUGAGUGGCAAUCUAGUGGCUAUCCAAACUUACAAUGUGGCUAUGAUGUUGUUCAUCACAGUAGGAAAUAAGAAAUGGUACUCACAAUGGCAUCCAUUGCUUGCUCAUUAAAACCUGACUUGCUGCUGCAGUGGGUGUCCUUGAAAAUAUCAAUCGCAGUUGGUGGCGCAUCCUUAAAUUUAGUUUGCUUCUGAAAUUACACAAAAAUAGAAAACAAACAGCAGCAACAACACAUUAGCAGCAACAUUAACAUUUAAUUAUUUGUAUCCUAAGAUAGCAUGACACCAGCAGUAUCUUAACAUUUAUUGAAUCACAUAUUUCAUUACAACUGACAUGCUAUAAAUCUAAAACUAUGUUUGAUUUCCAUUAUGCGAGUAGGCCAUGUAGAAGCAUAAAACAAAUGUAGCCGAAUGACCAAUCCAGUUAUUUACAUGAGUAACUAGACAGUAUUUGCCGAAUCCGCAAUCCAAUUAUUCAUAUCAGUAACUAGCCAAAUCACCAUGAAGUGGAUUCAAAAUACCCUAUUUGCAUACUAGAACAUCCUUGAUGAUUUCAGAUCCUUGAGCAAAUAGACCUAAAUAAAUAGCUUUGCAUAUACACUAGACAUUUUUUUUCAUGCAACAAGCACCAUUUUUGGACACAUACAACCUCCUAUAUGAUUUAUCUUACCAUGACAUAGCAUUGAGCAACAUAGCUUCGAGAUCCUGUCAUUUGGUGAUACUGAACUAGCUCACGGCUGCCUUUGUUUUUUAGACAUUUUUCCUGUAGAAAGACAAAUAUUUAUGAACAAACAAUCCAUAUAUUCUAUAAGGCAACAAUUGUGAUAGAUAUUAAGGAAGGGUACCUUGUGCUUUGGGUUAGACCACAUGUCCACGAGUUGUUUCCACUGCAUGUCAGUCAUAGUCGACAAAGGUGAAGUUAUUCUAACUGCAUUUGCUGGUAUGCCAUUAAAGUAUUGCUUUUUCAGCUUGUAUCUCAUCUAUCGUUGUCCUUUUUUGAGCAAAUCAGACAAUGCAUCUUUCACCGGCACAACGUCUUUGUCAAUGGUGAAUUGACUCUGGACAAGAGCAUGCAUAUAUCAUUAAAGGACAAUCAAAUGAUGUUCUGGGAGUAUGCGGCAGCAGCAGCAUCAACAACAAGCAACACAAACAAGUGUCAACUCUAGAUUAUGCAACACUAUAUAAUAGAAUAAUUUGAAUAUAGAGAUAGACAAAGUAUAUGAUCAGCAAGGAAAAAUACACAAAUUUUUCCACCAAAAAAAUUUAUCAUUGUAGUUUCUAACAAAGUAUAUUGUAAUCCAUAAACCACCAAAAAAGUUAUCUUCAACAGCCAGGUUACUUACACUAAGUUUAUCAUUGUAGUUUCUAACAAGAGGUUUGGCGGCAUCCUCCUUAUAAUGCUUCCAGUGAGUGAAGAUUGGAACAUGGUCCCGUAGAAUAAUACCAGCCUCUGAUGCUAGUUUUGCAGCUUGCAAAGGCUCCUCUGGCCGCAAUUUUCCUUCAGAGAUGUUCACUGGGAUCUUGGCUCUUAACCCUCUUGAAAUCAUAUCCAAAUCUCUGCCCAUGUGUCUCUUGGUGAUACAUCGACCUAUCAUGGAGUUUGGAAAACAAUUAGAUAGAAUCAUAGACCCAUUAAUGUACAUAAACAAAUAAUUAAUAGUGGAGAGAGGGUACAAUCACUUGCCUUCAGUAGACAACUCAUUCUGGUUGUUGGACUGAGUAUUAUUAUUGGCAGCCAUCAGUGCAUCUUCUGUGGAACCAUCUUGUGGGUGUACUAUUGGAACUUCAUCGGCUAAGGCCAAUUCCCUUGUCCUCUGCCUGGUAAUCCUUGCUGGAUCGUCUUGCCCUUGAUGUGCCACUGCCAUCACUCUCUUUGAUGUUCUUGUCGAACUCUUGCUAACUUCAGGUUCCAAGUCCAGCAUGGCCUCCUACAUGAUACAACAAAUUACAAGAGAAUGAAUAAUUCUGCAUAUUUGCUCAUGUACUGCAUAUUUAACAUAAAUGUUGGGCUGUCAUCAAGGUACCUUAUCAAAUGCUCCUUGUUCAACGUCUUCACCAUCUUCAGGUUGAUACAAUGAGCCAGAGUCUUCACGGGUAGUAUUAGUGCCCUUUGGUCUUGAAUUUUUUAGAAUAUUUGCUGCCUCUUGUAUUCCAAGACUGCGGAAGAUCCGACUAUUCCGCAUCACUUGUUCCAUCUUCUGCUUCUCAUAGUCAGUUAGUGGAGCCUCUGUACUUGCACGAGAAAAAGAAAUCAUAGUAAAUUAAGCUUCAGGAUCAAGUCUGGUUGAGGGCCGGGUCUUCGGUUUCCGACCAGGAGCCAUCUUCAUGAGUCUAGGAAGCUUGGAGCGGAGUGCUGAGGAUGUCGUUGGGGGCGCAGGGCCUCUUCGGCUGUGGGCAGUGGAGGGCGGCGGAUCCUCUUUCCAGGCAGUAGAGAGGGCAACAAAGUGGCGGCUGCUGCGAGGAGUGAAUUGGAUUGACUAGGGUUUGGGGGAGCAUGAGCUGAAUAGGUCACGGUAUGGGGGUAAUUUUACUGUGCUAUCCUUAUCCAAAGGAGAGUUGUUGUGGUAUAUGUCUGGAUAGAAAUGACAUUUUCACUCCAAAUUUUUUGGUGUGGCGCGGAGACAUAGCGCCACUACGCGGUUGCGCCAGGCCCAGACAUCCAAAAUUUGGUUUAUGCGCUGCUUACUAGUGUCUGCUAACAAAAAUAUUUUUCUAUAAAAUACGAAAUCGGCUUUUAAAAAUAGGAAAAAAAAUAAUCUCAGGCUGGCUAAUCGCAAGUCGCGUAUCUUUUAGCGUAAAAUCGCGUGCUACGCGGUCCGUGGGAUUCGAACCUGAGACCUCGCCCUCGCGCGUACCCUCCUCUACCACUCCACCUACCACUCAGUUGUGUCUAUAUUAGAGUUUAGUUCCCCAUAUACUAUUAUAAACCAAGCAUAAAUUGAUUAUUUGAGGCUCUAAACGAAUAAAAAUAAAAAAAGUUAUCAACUACAAAGUUUCAUAAUUUUUUAGGAUCUGCAACUUUUAUUUUUGUGGGUUUUUCAUACAAGGUUAUUUCAAACCUUGAUGCUUUAGUUGUAUACACGGAGUAACCGAGGAAGUCUUAUAAAUAGAGAGUCAAGCUCGGGUACUAAUACAACAUCGAAGAUCUGGACGCAAAGUUCAACAAUGAGCAGCUUCUGUUAUAUAUACAAUAAAACGUGCUGGCCAAUCAAACAUUGGUACGUAGCUUAGUGGCGUGAUUGCUUCAAAGUAACUUGGAGGCUUCGGCGCGCAUGACCCAUUUUAAAGAAAAAAAAUAAGACAUAACCAAAAUAAAGAAAUAAAUAAUAAAAAAAAUAUGCUACGUGCCAAUUCGAAUGCCACUAUGGACAAGAACAUUUAAAAUAAUUCAAUAAAAUAAGUGAUGACACAUAACAUUUGUCAAAGAUUUAUGACAUUAGAAAAUUAGGACUUGUGACAUAGCAAAUAUUGUCACUAGAUGGAAUUGGACUAGUUGUAUGACGUUUGUUAUGACAUCCAACUUUUUAUUGUCACUAAGUAGAGAUACAUGAAAUAGAAUGUCAUAAAUCGGAUGAUAUAAUGACAUUAUUACCUUUUGUCAUACUAAAAACGUCAAAAAACCACACAUAUCUUGUAGUGGAACCCCAAAAAAAUCUACUCCCUCCAUCCCAAAUUAUAAAAAUAUUAAACAAGGCCUUAACAAAUUCUGGAUCCAAACAACGCUCAGUUCGAACUCAUCUGGCAGGAGGAUGGUGUACUACCAGCUGAUGAUGAGUAGUGGGAUCCUAACGUGGGUAGUGUUGGUGUCCUGGCAACACAUAGCUUGCACGUAGGCGUGCUCAUUCUGGGCCGUCCAUUCCAUGCUUGCACUUGCACGGACCACACGCGACGCGAUCCCUCGUUUAAUUUGUCCGCGAUCGAUCGCGGCUGGUGUCCCUGGCGCUGGCGGCCUGAUGAUGAUCCAACAGCAGUGCCAGUACAGCACACCAACGCCAACGUACGCCGAGGAGGAGGAGGAGGAUAAAGGAGAAGAAGAAGACCAAAAUCCAUCCAUGGAGUCGCACGCACGGGCCUCACGAGAGGAGAGACCAUGACCUGUGGCCCCUCGUAGCAGUGGCAAACCAGGGGGCAGGGGCAGACUAGGCCGUGUGUGGGGAUUGCACGCCGCCGAUUUCGUGUCCUUGCAGCCUCCUUCUCAGUUCUCGCACACUGCCACACACACAGCUGACCUGCCGCUGCCGCUGCCACUGCCAGGAAGGUAGGGAGAGGCCAGGAUGCCCCGCGGCGGCUUCUCGGGGUCCCUCAGGUCGCCCAAGAUCGACGUCGUCAUCGACAUGGGGAACCCCUUCCUCAACCGCGCACCGUCGACGGCUUCCUCAAGAUCGGCGCCGUCGGCGCCUGCAAGGUGGCCGCCGAGGAGACCUUCGACUGCCUCCACAGGGGUGAGUACGUUCGCCUCUUCCUCCGUUCCUCGACCCCUUUAUUCGUUGUAUCCAGUCAUGCUGCAUUCCAUAGAGCCCAGUAACCUUGUUAGAUGCAAAAAAAAGUUUCGAUUUUGCGGAACUCAUGUCAGACAUUGAUACGGUGUUGCCCCCAAAACGUUUGGCCGUUGCGCUCCACUCUACGCAGAUAGAUAGAUUACUAACCAUGAUGUUGGAUUAUGGAUAAUGGACUGGAGUGGAAUCGCUCUGCCUCUGCAAGUGGAUUCAGAGAGCGAAACAAGGGGUGCAGACAUAACCCCAGACUAUAAUUUGUAGUGCAGCCUGAAUAUCACACACUCAGUCUUUAUUGAGUUUUUCUGUGCAGUUCUGUAACCUGCAUUUUACAUUCAGUCAUGAUUGAAUAUUUGAAUGACUCAAAUGGCGACGAAAAUAUCUGUUUUUGUUACUGAAGAUCCACUUCAUAUACACACUUGUACUGAAGAUCUUACUGAAUUUCUUACUGGUCAAAAUGGUACUUACCUCAAUAGAUCUUACUGGCAAAAUGGUACACCUCAAUAGAUCUCACUGAAGAUCGCCUCAACUUUGAAUUUAACCAAUGCUAUUUCAGAAUGAUAGCAGUAUUGUAUUCCUGUUGUUUACUGACAAGGAAAUCAUAUGCUUGCAUUUCUUUUGUGCUACAUUUUACUGGCAAUCAGAGAAGAAAUUGUUAUGACAAAACCUCUUCUGUUUGCAGGGGAUGUUUCAAAGCACAGGAUUGAACAUGCUGUAAGUCAUAUAUCCGCAACCUUUGCAUAUCUGAAUUUUUUAAAAACUGCUCUAGCUCCAGGCCUCAUUUCAAUUGGGGAUCUUAAAUAUCGUGAUCCAAAUGCCUAGCGAUGCCAGUUACGUGAUUCUGUUAUGACCGGCGUCCAGUAUCAAAGGAGGCUAAGCCACCAUCGGCCAGGGGUUUAGGCGCAGGAGUUAGGGGCUAACAGCCCAUAUUUAUCUUUAUUUGUUUAUUUUCAUAAUUGAAGCAAUUAUUCAUAUAUAGGAGUUGUAAUUCUUGUGGACAGAAUUAAGCAAGAGUAAAUCUUAUUACUCGGCUUCCCUUGGGAGCCGGGAGUUUGCUCUAGCCGUCGCCUCCGUUCUCUUCUUCCUCGCGCGACCACGGCGCCCGCCGCCGUGCCGCGCACCCAGCCCCCCAACACACAUACAACCUUCGCUCGACCAAGGGAAGGGUACAGGUCCGUAUCAACCUGGUAUCAGCCAUGUCGAUCCCACCCUCAGCCACCGUUGUUCCGCCUUCAUCCACAACGGCGCCGCCCGUCUCCUCCGCUCUGCCCCAGGCGCCCAUGUCGACAUCGGCCCUGGUGUUGACCUCUUCACAGCCGCUGGCGUAGGGCGCGCCAGGGGCGCCGCGCGCCGUCUUCACGCCCGAGCAAACGACAUCCACGAUCGUCGAACUCAGCCACGACUUGGCUGAGCUGCGGCUGACGAUGACCAUGCUGCAGCUUUACAACAAUUCGACGCCGCAAUUUGGCGCACCGCCGCAGCAGCUGCUCCUGACGCAGUCGUCCCCGUUGGUCGCUUUCCACCACUCGGCGCCGGUCUCCUACCCCUACGGGAUGCCCGCCGACGUCGGGUUUUGGACGACAACAACGCCUACUUCGUCGUCCGUUCUGAUCCACCAGCUCCGUUUUCCGUCAUCGCCGUCCCCAGCGGCCAACUGCUUUGGCUCGCCCCGCCGCUAGGGGAGGACCUCUAGCCGCGGCGCCCACGCCUACUGCGCCGGCACUAACCGGCACCGCUACACCCGCCCACACCUUCCGUCGCUUGACACCGGCGGAGAUGCUCGAGCGCCGUCACCAGGGACUUUGUUACAACUGCGACGAGCAGUAUGUGUGCGGCCACGUCUGCCCACGUGUCUUCUACCUGGAGUCCUCUGACUACAUCGACGACGACGUGUUCACCGCAACAGAGGACACCGCGGACGCCACUGUCGAGAGCUAGCGCCACCAGAUGGCGCUGCUGCUCAUGCUCUGGUUGUCUCCGUGUAUGCUCUUGCAGGGAUCCACACCUACCACACCAUGCUGCUGCCCGUCACCAUCAAUGGGGAAUGCCUACUCGCGCUGCUGGCUCCACCCACACCUUCCUCUAGGACACGGUCAUGCGCCACCUGGGGCUUGUUCCGCGUGGUGGCAACAACCUCCGUGUCACUAUCGCGAACGGGGAGCGUUUUCCGUGCAAGGGGAUCGCCCGAGAUAUGCUCGUCCUCAUCGGCGGUGAGUCCUUCGCCAUCACGUGUGUGGGGCUCGCCCUCGGCUGCUUCGACUUCAUCAUCAGCGUCGACUUCCUAGGGGCUUUGGGACCUCUUCUGUGGGACUUCGAGGACCUCACCGUCUCCUUCUAGCGAGGCGACCAGUGCGUCACAUGGCAGUGCGUGGGUCCCCCGGGUGCUUCUUCACACCAGCCGCGCCUGGCCGCGACCACGGCCGACCAGCAGCGGCCACUAUUGGACUAGCUCCUACAGCAGCACAUGGCCAUCUUCGACAAGCCUCGUGGCCUCUCGCUCGUGCGCUCCUACGACCACCGCUUCCACCUCCUACCGGGGACCGCGCCGGUGGUGGUGCGGCCCUACCGAUACCCGCAGCUCUAGAAGGACAAGCUGGAGCGGCAAUGUGCCGCCAUGUUGGAGCAGGGCAUUAUUCGGCCGAGCACGUCACCAUUCUCCGCCCCUGUGCUGCUCGUCAAGAAGUCCGACGGGUCCUGGCGCUUCUGCAUCGACUACCGCGUGCUCAACGACAGGAUGUCCAAGGACAAGUUGCCGAUCCCGGUGGUCGACGAGCUCCGCGGGGCACGUUUCUUCACCAAGCUGGACCUCCGCUCGGGCUAUCGCUAAGUGCGCAUGCACCCGGCGGCCAUCGAGAAGACCGCUUUCCGCACCCACCACGACCACUUCGAGUUCUUGGUGAUGCCGUUUGGGCUGUCCAACGCUCCGGCAACGUUCCAAGCCCUGAUGAACGACGUCCUCUAGCCUUUUCUUCGCGGGUUCGUGCUGGUAUUCUUCGAUGACAUCUUGAUCUACAACUCAUUGUGGUCCAAGCACCUCCAGCACGUCGUCCUCGUCUUCUCCGCUUUGAGGGCUCACGGCCUCUACCUCAAGAGGUCCAAGUGCUCCUUUGGGACACUCUCCGUCGACUACCUCAGGCACGUCAUCUCUGCUGAUGGCGUCGCUAUGGACAGUGACAAGGUGGCUGUGGUCGCCGCGUUCACCUCGGGGCGUCUUUGGUUUUCUCGGCCUUGCGGGCUACUACUGCAAGUUCAUCCGCGACUUCGGCUCCAUCGUAGCACCACUCAAUCGUCUCCUGCGCAAGGAGGCGUUUGCUUGGACGUCGGAAGCGCGGCGGCCUACGACGCCCUCAAGAGGGCCUUGUCAUCAGCCCCUGUUUUGCAGAUGCUGGAUUUCACUCGUGAGUUCGUCGUCAACUGCGACGCCUCAGGCGCAGGCGUUGGCGCUGUUCUCCACCAGGGGUCGGGUCCCCUAGCAUUCUUCAGCAGACCCUUCGUCACCCGCCACAUCAAGCUCGCGGCCUAUGAGCGCGAUCUCAUCGGGCUAGUGCAGGCGGUCCGGCAUUGGCGGCCGUACCUAUGGGGACGUCGUUUCCUCGUCCGCACCGACCACUACAGCUUGAAGUUUUUGCUCGACCAGCGCCUUUCCACUGUUCCGCAACACCACUGGGUUAGCAAGCUGCUCAGGUUUGACUUCGCGGUGGAAUACCGCCCCGGCCGACUCAACUCGGUGACGGAUGCGCUGUCCCGACGCGACGAGGACGCAGUUACAGAACUUGCCUUGUCCGGGCCAUCCUUCGCCCUCUACGAUGACAUUCGGGCAGCCACUCGGGAGGACCCGGUGGCACGCGGCCUCCUGCAGCAGCAGGCCGCGGGGACGCUGGAGGCGCCCUGGACCAUCGCGGAUUGGUUCCUCCUUCGUGGCAAACGCGUCUACGUUCCCGACCUGCAGGACUUGUGCCAUCAGGUGGUGACCCUGGCACACACUACAGGGCAUGAGGGCGUCCACAAGACCCUCUUGCGUCUGCGCAAUGAUUUCUACAUCCCCAACGACCGCAAGCUUGUGCAAGACUACGUCUGCACGUGUGAUGUGUGCCAGCGCAACAAGACGCCCAUGACACAGCCGGCCGGUUUACUACAGCCCUUGGAUGUGCCUUCCCAAGUUUGGACCGACACCUCCAUGGAUUUCAUCGAUGCCCUUCCCAAGGUCCAUGGCAAGUCGGUCAUCUUGACGGUGGUGGACCGCUUCUCCAAGAAUGCGCACUUCAUCACUCUCAGCCACCCCUACACGGCCGCGUCGGUGGCCCGUGCUUUCUUCGAGGGGAUUGUGCGGCUUCAUGGCUUUCCCACCUCCAUUGUAGUGACCGCAAUCCAGUUUUCACUAGCCACUUGUGGAGGGAUUUGUUUCGCCUUGCAGGUGUGAAACAGCGGCUCAGCACGGCCUUUCACCCUCAGACGGAUGGCCAGUCUGAGGUUGUCAACAAGGUGAUCGCCAUGUACUUGCGUUGUGCGACCGACGACCGGCCGCGCUCAUGGGUCGACUGGCUACCGUGGGCGGAAUACUGCUACAACACGUCGUACCACACGGCACUUCGGGCGACUCCAUUCGAGAUUGUCUACGGUGGCCCACCACCUCCCCUUUUGCCUCACCAAGAGGGGGCGGCUGAGACGGAGGAUGCAGACGUCAUGCUCCGGGACCGCGACGUGUUCCUGGUCGAGGUCCGGGAGCGCCUCCUCCAGGCACAGCAACACGCCAAGGAGCGCUAUGACGAGCACCAUCGGGCUGUGGACAUUGCUGUGGGCGAUUGGGUGCUGCUCCGACUUCUUCACCGCCCCACACACACGCUCGCGACGCCAGCCAAGGGCAAGCUUCGUCCUCGUUAUGUUGGUCCGUUCUGUGUGCUGGAACGCAUUGGGUCGGUGGCCUAUCGUCUACAGCUGCCCGAGACUACACGCCUCCAUAAUGUUUUCCACAUCGGGCUACUCAAGCAGUGGCGUGGUGAACCUCCUGUGACGCCGGCGGUGGUGCCACCAGUCUUCGAGGGGCGCCUGCUUCCUGCCCCGGAGAAGGUUCUGUGCGCGCAACUACGCCGCGAACAGUGGCAGCUGUUGGUCAAAUGGCGCGGCCUUCCGGAUGAUGCUACGACAUGGGAAGCUCUCGACGACUUCAAAGCCCUAUACCCCGAUGUCCAGCUCGAGGACGAGCUGUUUGUCGACGCGGGGAGAGAUGUUAUGACCGGCGUCCAGUAUCAAAGGAGGAGCCGGCCCAUUAGUGGCUAAAGCCACCAUCGGCCAGGGGUUUAGGCGCAGGAGUUAGGGGCUAACAGCCCAUAUUUAUCUUUAUUUGUUUAUUUCCAUAAUUGAAGCAAUUAUUCAUAUAUAGGAGUUGUAAUUCUUGUGGACAGAAUUAAGCAAGAGUAAAUCUUAUUACUCGGCUUCCCUUGGGAGCCGGGAGUUUGCCCUAGCCAUCGCCUCCGUUCUCUUCUUCCUCGCGCGACCACGGCGCCCCGCCACCGUGCCGCGCACCCAGCCCCCCAACACACGUACAACCUUCGCUCGACCAAGGGAAGGGUACAGGUCCCUAUCAGAUUCUUUGCUUGCAGUUCCUAAAUGUGGAUCGUGAUUUACUUGACAUUCCAAAAACACAUGUCAUGACUUAUGAAUACUGCAGAUCUCUAGUUGUAGUCUCAGUCUAGUGUACUGUCAUCUCAGGAAUUCUGUGUUACUGGAAAUGUUGAACUAAACCCCUGCACCUCUUUUGCAUCUUGCAUCAUGCAUGCUUGUGUAUCCCUGAAAAAUCUUUGAGCAACUUCUGGUCUACACAUCAAACUGAUACUAUGUAUGCAGCUGAAGAAAAUGUACAGGGAGGGCGCAUACUGGGGUAACUAAUUGACCAAUUUGUGCCUUUUUGUCGCUUCAAACCCACAUAAUUUGUUUUGGCUUCUUUCCCUUCUUCAUUUAUACUCUGACUAAUGUACAAUAGUAUAAGUGCGUGAUAUUGUUGUAUUAUCGUGUAAGAUGCUAUUAGUCAUAUUAUUGUAAGACAAGCACUUCAAAGUUUUUGUGGAGCUACUUCUCAUAUGCAAUGAGGUGGUUGUAUAGGGCAACAGAGAAAGUUACAUAGAAAAUGACAAACCCUUUCACGACACAUAGUCAUUUCAUAUUUAUUUUACUUUGAGCCAAUUGUGAAUUCGUGAAUCUCGAGAUAUGCCGGCUCAGUACUUCAGAUGUGUUCAUAGGGUAGGGUUUGUGUAAAUAUGAUACGUAUUGUGAGCGUCUGUGUUGUAAUAUAUAAUUUUAGAAAAAAAAGGGACCAAGCUAGUGCAAAUGAUUUCUACCUCCAUGGAUCUUAUUUCUGGGUUCCCCCUGUUUUUACUGUAAUUUUUAAAUGUUGCUCUCCUCUUUCUAAUCCAGUAUAAGUACUACCUAGCUACUUUGUGUUUACAUGUUGCUCUCCUUCAAACUGGCAUCAGAUAAUUUGUGUUUACUCGUUGGGGGAGACAGGAGACACUAGCUCCUGCAUUUGUGUAGCCCGGCACACGUAGCUUCUCAGAGAUGCAUACGUGGCUCUGGACACAUCCAAAGUGAUUGCGCUACUCUUGAAUGCAUAUUCAGGCUUGACACCAACACAGUGAUCCAUCACUUACUAUGGGCCGUAGCCAGGGACCAAGUAGACCUGUUAAACAUGUUUACAUAGCAAUGAUAGUGUUUUUGAAUUUUUCUAGUUUUUUUAAAAUCUAUUUUUCUAGAGCUAAAUUUAUUUUUUGAAGCGGAGAUCUAAGUAUUUUAUGUAGAUUCUCUAUAAUCUUUUUUUUAAGAAUUUUAAAUGCUUAGAGACAUUGGUACCAAUUUUUUAACUAAAAAGGAUAAACCCAAUUUAUCCUCUCUGACGCCAUGUUAACAAUUGCUGUUCAAAACCAUCCAGAGUCGAAACAAACAAUUUUAAAAGUUAAGGAGACCUAAAAAUCUGAUCUUAAAUCUUUCUCUAAUAUAUAAUUAUAAAAAUUUCAGUCCACCAGGUAUCUUUCUUUCCGCCAAUAUUCUAUUUCCCGUGGGUGGCUGCCCAGGACUCGUCCGACAAGGAGGCAGGGCAGGAGUGCCCUGGCCGUGGUCCGACGUGCCAUGGCGAGGCGGGGCUCUCGCAACGCAGCAUCGCACAGAAGAGGAGAACGGGCGGCUGCGCUCGGGUGCCCUUCUGCUCACGGUCGACGAGUGCGAGCCAGAGCACGCCGUGGUGGUGGCGGCUCUAUUGUGGCGCGAUUGAGGAGGCUAGCUCGUCCGUGAUGCCAGCAGACGGAGGCAGAGAGGUCGCAGUUGCCGUGGAUUGCGACGCGGUGAGGCCCUAGUGAUGGGCGGACGCACUCCUGAAGUAGGGUCGCGGUGGUGGAGUUGCCGGUGUUGUGGCACGAUCAGGUGCUCGGCGGAUCAGAAGGGGAGGAGAGGAGUGGCAGAGGUGCUCAGCGAAGCUCGUCGCGACCAUAGCAGGGAGAGGAAAGGAGAAGGCGUGGUGGCGGCGGCGCUGAGGAGCUCCAAAAGAUGGGGGCGACGGCGGCCAUGGCUUAAAUAGUGCGCAGCACCUAGGGUUUGAGGAGCUCCGUUCAUCCUCGUCGUCAUGCCGUAGCGGGGCACGUGGCGCACAUCGAAGGGCAAGCAGGCAGGGUGUGCGCGGCUCGGCCUCCGAGCAGCGGCGGUGGCGCUGGCUCCUAGGAGCAGAGCACAUUAAGGUUAAGGGAUGGGCGCCGGCGGCUUGGGCCGCGCAUGGAUUCUGGGUCGCUGAGCUGGGCCGAGGGUGGACGCGGGGUGAAGUGGGCCAGCCUCGCAGCUGGGCUGCGCGGGGCACUGCACGACUAGGCCAGGAGGAGAAGUGGGCCACACGCGCGUAGGCUUGGGCCGUGGGAAGGAGGAGGUUAGCCGGGCCUGGCGGGGAAGAGGGAGGUGGGCGGGCGAAUGGGGGGAGGGCAGGCCGGGCAGGAAAAACGGAAUAUGCAUGAUAUGUCUAGUUUUGAAUAAAUCUUGAACACAAAAUAUGUUGUAUCUCCCGUUGCAACAUAUGGGCAUUUUUGUUAGUUUUUAUAAAGCAAAAACCCACUAACCUAUUUUUCUUAUUUCAUCAGCUAGCAUAGUCUCUACCGUCCAUACCAAACAGGCAAUAUUAAUAUACUACUCCAUCCUACGUCUACAGUAGAGUUUGAGUGCUUCUUCUAUGAACUGCCCGAUCCGUUCCAAGAUGACAGAAGCCAAUGAUCAAGGCGGAUCCUUCUCUGCAAAAUUCCACAGCAGCCGGCAGCCAGGCAUACAUCGCAAACUUCUGUCAUCCUCAGUUUCAAAGCUUCCUCUCAAUUCUUGCUGAGCCCCAUCCUAUACAUUUUUGUUAAUUUUUAAGUAGAACGAUUUGUUUUUAAUUUUUUACUUGCUAUUUAUCCAGUGUUUCUUUUAGUUUCUGCUGACAUGAACCUCUGACAUACAUCAUAUACGUUGUAUAGUAACUAAAUAGUAUUUUUCUCUGACGCUCUUUAUCAUGUUUGAUGAGAAACAUCAUCUCGAUUUCUACUUGCUCUCAACUGUUGGUGUCCCACAUCCCUAUAUGAGUUUUUUUUUGUAGAAUGUAUGGGUCGAUUCCGUUGCAGUUGCGUGAUGUACGUACACAUGCUAUUGUGCAAAUUAUAAAUAAUGUCUUUCGCACUUCCUACCCUAAUGCAUUUGUCGUUCACAAAAUACAAUUUCUUAAACUCCUGUAGCAACACGUGAGGUAUUCACCUAGUUUUAUAAAAAGGGGAUCGGACAAUCCUUUGUCAAAAUUAAAAUAUACAUGCAAACCACAUAUGCCACUUCAUAAAACAGCUACGAUAUCAAAGACAGCAAAUAUAUCAAACUCUGUACUCAUGUGCGUUUGAUAUUUCAGUUCCCUUACUCACAAACAAGAAAAAAAAUGGAUUGGUCUGAACCGAAAGAAAAUAUAAAAGCACUAGCUAGCCACGCCAUUUGAGCGGGCCACCUUGCUAGUUACUCCCUCCAUCGUCGUUUGACUUUUUUUUACCUCAAGUUUGACCACUCGUCUUAUUCAAAAAAUUUAUACAAAUAUAGUCAAAUUUAAGUCAUUCUUGAAGAACUUCUAUUAAUAAACCAAUACACAACAAAAAAAAAGUGAUAUUUUGUACAAAACUUUGAAUAAAACGAGUGGUCAAACUUGAUAUUAAAAAAGUCAAACGACUUACAAUUUACAAUUUAGAAUGGAUUGAGUAUAUAUGAACGUAAGUUGAUGGACAUGACAAUAUAUUAUAACUAAAAAUUACAAUGCAUCGGUACCAACGGUUGCAUUUGCCGUAUUCACGACGAAAUCGAUUACCACAAGAGGAAUGUGACUGACAAGGUGCCAGUCGGGCCCUGCCCCUCGCUUGUAACGCUCCGCCAAACCAGGGCAACCAUAAAUGCGCAAUUCCUCAAGAGCAGUUAGGCGUUGUAUGGAUUGGGGCAAGUAUUGAAGGGCAGGGGAAUGCUUGAUAUAAAGCGAACGAAGCGCAGAGAGUUGUCCAAUCCACUCUGGCAGCACCGUCAGUGAUGACAGUUCGAGAUGUUCAAGCGAGGUGAGGUGCUGAAUCGCCUCUGGGAACUGCUUCAAAUCGCCCAAUCCCAAUCCAAGGUGUCGCAGAGAGUGCAGUUCUCCAAGCCAGUCAGACAACGUGCCAACGGCGGGGCAUUCGUAGAUGCGGAGACGCUCGAGAGAGGUGAGCUUCCGCAUGCUCUCUGGUAACUGUGUCAGGUCAUUGCACCUGUAAAUACACAACUCUUUCAGCUCAGUGAGGUGCUGCAGCAGUUCCCAGCCAGAUGGUGAUCCUGUAACGUUGCUUAGCCCUAGACUCUUGAGGCGAGGGACCAACGCAUGCAUGCUGGGCAGCUGAUGGGAGAACCUUCCUGUGGAUAGCAGCUGCCCAUUGAUUCUGUUUAAAGACAUAUGCACCAACGAUGGUGGAAAGUAGGGGCUCACAUUUAAUUUCGGGCAGCCAUAUAUUUCUAGACUGGACAGGACAGGGAAAAGAUGUUGUGCUGCCAAUUCUUUCUCCCCAGUUUCAAAACCACUUGAUGUAGUCCACAGCUCCUCUAAAUUAGGCAUUUCCGCCAGAACAAGGUACUUCAGUGAAGGCAACUCAACAAAUCCUCUCAUAUGCCUCAAGUUUGGAAAUCUUUUUACCGUUAACCAAGUUAAACAAAGGAAAUGGGAUGCGAUAGUUUGCUUCAGCAUUAUACCACCUUCAAAAUAUGAAGAAUCAUUUUGCUUCAUCAUCCAUCCUGGCAGGCAGGGGCCUCUGUAAUUAUAGAUAUCCAAGCUCUCAAUUUGCGAUGGUGGUUCAAGAGCGUUCAGCACACCCCAAUCAUGUUCCAUAUCUGACACCAACUCUUCUUCAGAAUCACUUAGAGACCAGUUCAGCUCCAAGUUUUGUAUGUGACUCUUCCGCUUCAAGCAAGCCUUCUCUGCAUCACUUGGAUCCUUCAAAUACUUAAGGUUGGUAAUUUCCAAGCGACCACCUAUCAUAUCAAGGUUUUCUAGCUCUGAGAUCCUCGCAUCAUCUGCACCACACCCAACAACAAACAAUCCCAGCUCUCUUAAACGGGUCAGCUGUCCCAACCCUGUUGGUAAGCAGCAGAGUUUACUACAAUGCUUUAUGUUCAAAACUGCGAGCCUUUUCAAGUUUGCUAUGCCCUUAGGCAACUCCCGUAGCUCAUUGCAUCCCUCAAGGUUAAUACAUUCCAGAGUAUCGAUCGAUGUAACCCAUUGAGGUAGCAUGGUAACUUUGGUUUCAGAAAGGUUCAGAGUACGCAAUGUAGGACAGGAUAAUGUGCUUGGCAGGUCUUGCAAAUCCGUACAACCAUGAAAGUUAAUAGUUCGCAAGUUUUUGAACUCCCCAAUGAUGUCUGAUGGUAGUUGUUGCAGAGAUGAACAGUACUCUAUAUCAAGUACACAUAGGUUUCCAAUUCUACCUAAAGAGCUUGGUAUCUCUCGGAGCUUGCUGCAGGCAUAUAGUUGCAAGGACUGAAGAACAUAACAGUCACCAAUGGACUGAGGCAAACUCUCAAGAUCAGUAACCCAACGCAACUCUAGAGUCCUUAGCUUCCGAAGCGUUCCAACAGACUCAGGUAAUGUCACGAAACCUUUGCAGUCAACAAAAUUGAGUGACUGCAAGUUCCAAAACCUCGAGAUAGCUUCCGGAACUGUUGUACAACUAACAUUAUGGAUUUCAAGAUACCCAAGAUACUCAAACUUUAAUAUGAAUAGUGACAACGGAGUAUCAGUUGCAUAGUCCAAAACAACACUGCGCAUACAGCAACUACUCUUCACUGUGGUAUCAAAAGAUGUCUUACUGUCAGAGAUAUAUAGAGCACGGACCUUGUCAAAUACGCCCUUGUCAACAUUCUCAGUGAAUGAAGUCAAAGAUAAAUAUCUAUACCUAUGAGUAAAUUCUUCUGUUGUAUGAAUUGGUACACAAGUCACCAGCUCAUCCUUUAGUAUCUGCCGAGUGAGAUCAUGGAUCAAAUCGUGCAUGGUGUAUAUAUCAGUAUUCCAGCUCCCAUAAACUUCCUGAAGAAAUCUGACUUUUACAAGAGAAUCUAAGUAGUCUCUUCCGACAUCUUCGGGUUGCUCUCCAUUCAUUGCAUUGAUGAAUCCAUGAGCUAUCCAUUGGGCAAUCAAACGAUCUUUCCAGAUUCCAUAGCCCUUCGGGAAUAUGGAGCAAAACGUAAAACACUGCUUCAGUUCAUCUGCCAAAUGAAUAUAGCUCAACUUCAAGGAUGCAAACACUCUGUCUUUUAUACUCUGAACCUUCCAUAAAUUAUUCUCUCUUAUGGCCCUCCACGUACUUAUUUGCUUCUUGUCACGAAGGACUGCUCCAAGAGUUUGAAUUGCUAACGGCACCCCACCACAUCCCUUGAUAAUCUCUUUUCCGACUUGUACCUCAUCGGAGCUCAAUUCUUGCUCUGCCAACCCAGAACCCUUCAGGAAUAAGUUCCAACUCUCAGACUCUGAUAAGAAUGCCAACUCAAAUGUAUAUCUUGAUUCCACAGCUUGUGCAACCUUUCGAUCACGAGUGGUUAAAACAAUCCUUGUUUCAGGUGCGCCACAUUUUAGCUGCACCAUGAACUGUUCCCAGUCAUGUCUGUCCUCAUGCCAAGCAUCAUCAAGGAUAAGAAGAAACUUCUUAUUGCUCAACUUCUCGGAGAUUUUUUGGACCAUGUGCUGUGGGGGAUGACGAUCUGAAUUAUCUCCAACAAUCGUUUCAAAUAGCUUGCCGAUGAGCUUCUGAACAUCAAACUCUUGAGACACAUGGACCCAGAAUAUUUCACCUCCAAAGUGCUCCUUUAUCUUGACGUCAUGACAAAUGUGUUUCGCCAAAGUAGUUUUGCCUGACCCCCCUAAUCCGAUGAUAGAAACUAUCAUGUUGUUCUCUCCAGCAUUACAUUCUACAAGCUUAGAUAUGAUUUCAUCCUUUUCUUGAUCCCUAAGGGGUAUUUUGGACUCUGGAACCUUGCUCAACCAGGUCAUCUCUCCAACUGUCUUGUACCUAGCACCAACAUGUUGAUCCCUUGUUGGAACUAAAGUAUUGAAAUCACUUCUUUGCUUGACGAUUGCAGCAAAUCUAACCUUGAUUGCCUUGAUCUUAUGAGCCAUCUUGUAUCGGAAUGCAAAUGACUUUGGUUUUGCACAGAAGCAACCGGCUAUACCACUCUUGUCAUCAUCUCUUUCCAUCUUCUGUUUCUCAGCUUCAAGCUGGACUUCUUGUAGUAUAUCGUCAAUGUCAUAAGCCACAUCUUUCAAUUUUAUCACCCAGUGAGACUGUGUCUCACUCUGUAUUGCUCUGUCAUACGCUGCCGACAGCCAGCCUGUAAUGUCUGCGUGUAUAUCCUGGAGCUGGCAGAGAUCUCUUUUUACACCGGCUAUGGCAGCAAACUCAGUGGCUAACAGUGAAACUAGCUUGUCACCUGCAGCCUUCAACACUCCAGAUGCUAAAGCAGCCUCCAUCCCACUCAUUAUGUCAAAGAAACUGUUGCCUAAACCCCUGCAGAUGAAAUUGAAAAACAAGCGGUUAGAUUGAGUUUCGCAAAUCCAAAACUAGUUAGGUGGCAGCAGUAAUGUUUCUUAGGAAAAAUAACUUUUUAGGAAAUGUGGCGGCAGAAAUGUUCCAAUAAUAAUUCUCAACUCUGGAAUAAAUUAACGGCCGACAAAAUAUCUGAGAGUUACAGGCCACGCCGCCGCCCGGUCCAGACGCGGCGGCCAUGUCCUCUCUCUAGCGCCAGGCCAGCUGCAGCACCCUGCUGCCAUGCAGCCUGCCCUAGGGGGCUGUUGUUCCUCCCAUCUAAUCCCCUCUGACUCCCCCAAUCUACCCUCUAAUUAAGUGAAGUCACCCCAGAUGGGACAUGUACAACAUGAGUGAUUUGCAGAUUAUAUGUUUCGAACGAAAUGGACAAAUAUUGUCCGUAUCGGCUAAAUAUCUUAUAUGGAUAACACAAAAAGUCAUUUGGAUGCUGGAAAAUAGAUCUACUAGACCGAUCGGCGUGAAAACAAAUGGAAAAUUAAUUUGCAUACCAGGUGAACAAGGACACACACAGCAGAAGCAGCAGAGCACCGACAGUAUGACACUUUGAUGCAACCAGAUAAGGGGCUUUUUGUUCUUCUUCUUGUGAAAGAGGUGAAGGGAAUCAGUAUGCUUGACGCUCACUGGGAUUGACACAAAAAAAAAAGUAUGAGUUGGUCAUCGAAGAAAUUCUAGGAUUAACAGAAAAAAAACGUGAGUUGGUGAUUGAAGAAAAUGACCAGGGGAGAAAGCGGGAGGAGAUGUGAGGAAUUAGAUUGUGCGUGUUGUGUUAGGCUUAAACCAAAGCAGAUUAAGUACCUAAACUCAACAACUGCGGCGAGGCUACAACCCAACGAGAGAGAGGCCUGCAGAUCUGAAAGGCAGGUAGGUGAUGAAGAAAAUGAGCAGGUGGUUGAACCCAACGAGAAGGAGAAACAGGAUUCAGGCAAAGGUCAUCCUCAUUACCUCGGUCGCGUCGGCGGCGGCGACGACGAGAGGCCUCCCGCCCCUAGUCGGGUUGUGCGCGGAGGUCGAUGGUCAGUGAACUCACUGCUCACUUCUCACGCGCAUGGAGACUCCACGGAGACGAACGAAGAGAGGAUUGCGACUGAGCACCGGACGAUGCCUGCUUUGUGAGUUGGGUUUGUGAGUUGGGUGGUGGACCCCGGCAGCCACUGUGAGAGCACGAUUGCUUUUCGCCUCCCAGAAAGCGCGUGGCAAGAGCAUCCACUACAGUGGAUCCAGAAAAUACAUCCUCAUUCCCUACAAAGUGUUAGGCCUUACCUAGUUUAGUUCCAUUUUUUUUAAAAUUGUAUUUGACAAAUAUUGUUAGGUUCAAAAGAUUUAUCUCGUAAAUUAUAUUUAAAUGGUGUAAUUAGUUAUUUUUUAUCUAUAUUUAGUGUUUCAUGUAUGUACCGCAAGAUUUGAUGUGAUAUAAAUCUAAAAAAUUUUGCAAAACUUUUUGUGAGUAGUUCACCUAAAAACCAAAAACUUUUCAAGAUUCCUCGUUAUAUUGAAUCUUGUGGAACAUAAAAUAUAGAUUAAAAAAGUAAUUAAUUGUACAGUUUAGGCCUUAUUUAGAUCCAAAAAGUUUUUGGAUUUUGACACCGUAGCACUUUUAUUUUUAUUUGAAAAACAUUAUCCAAUAAUGGAGUAACUAGAAUUAAAAGAUUCGUCUCGUGAUUUACAGGCAAAAUGUGCAAUUAGUUUUUGUUUUCAUCUAUAUUUAAUGCUUAAAGCAUGUGCCGCAAGAUUCGAUAUGACAGAGAAUCUUGAAAAGUUUUUGGUUGUUUGGGUGAACUAAAUAAAGCCUUAGCUGUAAUUUGUGAGACGAAUCUUUUGAGUCUAAUUAGUCCAUGGUUGGACAAUAAUUGUCAAAUAAAAAUAAAAGUAUUACAGUACCUACAAACUUUUCACCUUUCAACUAAACGGCCUUACAAAUAAUAAAAGGGGUUAAUUAAGGAAGAAAAAUAAGCUCUAACAUGUUCUCUUUCUAGUACUCUUUCUUGAACUUUUUUUUCAAUCUCCCAAAAUCUUCCUCUCCCUUAAACUUUCCAUCAGUGUGAUUGAUCCACCAAAAAAAUCCAUGCGAACUGCAAAAAGAUAUUUAUCUUCCUCUCUCACAAUAAUUAUCUCUUUUGGUGUGCCUUGAGGCCCCUUCUUACUUACUUCUGCACUUUUUUUGUCUCUUUUUUAAACUUCUUUAUUUCAAUAAAAUCCCUGUGGGGGCUGAGACCCCUUCAGUUUCCUAAAAAAAACCCAAAUAAAUCUUGCCUAUUUUUCAAACCUAGCUUCUAAUUACGUCAACUCAAUUUUAUACUUUCAAAGUUAUCUCAUAGAUAGACAACUAAAAGAAUUAACGAUAGCAAAAUACUUCAAAUCCUUACAUGUAUACUUUAUUUAUUGACAAUAGCUAGUUCAUCAGUUGUUCAUCAAUUGUUCAUCCAAUGUGCAUCUGGUUAGUCUCACUGAGUUGAUGUGGUGUUUGGUUGCUUUGCGUGAGAACAUAUGUUGCAAGAUACUCCUAUAAAUUAGGCAAUAAACAUAAUCACGAUAUUUUUUAUACAUGCAACUAUCUUUUAUUGCUCUUGAUUUAUUAUAUUAUUAUCCCUUAAUAUUUUUUUAAAAGAAAUACACUAAUAUCAAUUAAGACAUGCUAGUCGUGCACUGGUAAUGUCAUUAUCUAGAUAACUGCUGUCAACCGAUAGCCUGGAGAAGAACCCAAAAAAAAUCUACUCCCUCCAUCCCAAAUUAUAAAAAUAUUAAACAAGGCCUUAACAAAUUCUGGAUACAAACAAUGCUCAGUUCGAACUCAUCUGGCAGGAGGAUGGUGUGCUACCAGCUGAUGAGUAGUGGGAUCCUAACGUGGGUGGUGUCCUGCCAAGUGCCAACACAUAAGCCGUGCUCAUUCUGGACCACACGCGACGCGAUCCCUCGUUUUGUCCGCGAUCGUUCAAUUCGUUCGUGUCCCUGGCGCUGGCGGCCUGAUGAUGAUCCAACAGCAGUGCCAGUACAGCACACCAACGCCAACGUACGCCGAGGAAGAAGACCAAUCCAUCCAUGGAGUCGCACGCACGGGCCUCACGAGAGGAGAGGAAGAUGAGAGACCAUGACCUGUGGCCCCUAGUAGCAGUGGCAAACCAGGGGGCAGGGGCAGACUAGGCCGUGUGGGGAUUGCACGCCGCCGAUUUCGUGUCCUUGCAGCCACCGUCCGCCACCGUCCAAUCUCCGCUUCUUUAUCUUCUCCGAGGUGAGAGCAGGGAGCCCAGGCGAUCCUCCUUCUCAGUUCUCACACACUGCCACAUACACACACAGCUGACCUGCCGCUGCCGCUGCCACUGCCAGGAAGGUAGGCCACUGCCAGGAUGCCCCGCGGCGGCUUCUCGGGGUCACUCAGGUCGCCCAAGAUCGACGUCGUCAUCGACAUGGGGAACCCCUUCCUCAACCGCACCGUCGACGGCUUCCUCAAGAUCGGCGCCUGCAAGGUGGCCGCCGAGGAGACCUUCGACUGCCUCCACAGGGGUGAGUGCGCGCGUCUCUCUGCCUCUGCUGCUAUAACAUCUUUUACUAUAUUUACAUUGAGUUUGAUCGAGCUGUGUUGACCUUUAGGAGCUUUUCAUGUGGUUAAAUUAAGAUAUUCACUUGCACACAUCUACCACAGCAUUCAUCAUCAAUCAUUAAAAUUGCUAAAAAUAUUAUCACUCACUGUCCCAAGUAUUGUUAUUCUCUCUCUAAAAAGAUUCAAUGCAGAAGAGGCAUGGGUUAUGCAAAAAUACGCGAGGAAAUAAAAAGAGGCAAGUGCCCGGAUCCUCGAAAAAGAAAGAAAAAGAGUGAGACGAGAGGUAAAAAUGGACAAGUGUCCGAAAUAGAAUUAGGGGUACAAAGAUGCCCACUUGAGCGGAAAAAAUGGACAAGUGUCCGACAGUAGAAUUAGGGGUAUCUACUACCCACCUGAAAAAAAAGAGAAAGAAAAGAUAGCCCAUGUUCUCCCAAAGCAAAGAUCAAAGAAGAGGAGAGAUAGCAAUAUGAGGAGCAAUGAGAACUAAGUUUCAUUAUCACUUAUGCAUUUUCACCAUCACUAUCAUUUACUCCAUCACACAUGCACAUCUUGAUUUAAUUAUAUGCUGAGUUCCUUUGGAUCCAUGGCUCGAUUAGACAAUAUAUGUAUGAGCUGUUUUUCACUCCUAUGAGCUCCCCUUAAAUAUUCCAUUAAGCUAUAGGAAAGUGAUAUCAUGGUAAGGAUCCACAAAUACCACAUAUAGAGAGACUUGAGAGAAUCAUUGCUGGGAACUCUGAGUUUUAUUUUGAAAACUUAUGAAAAACUCUGGAACAAAGGUGAAGUAUAAACAGGAGGGAUAGUGCUUGACUUAACUAUUUUGUCUUUCGAUUACUUAAGAUUUAAGUGCAGGUACUAAACUUCAUAACACUUCACUUUAAUCUGGAAGAAUUUUGUAUAAAAGCAUGUGUGCCUGUCAGAAAAGAAAACAUCGAAGCAACUCCUGAUCCGUCUGAGUUUAGCUGUUUGCUCAGGGACGAGCAAAGGGUAAGCUUGGGGGAGUUUGUUGACGGUCCUUAAGUACUAAAAUUAAUAAUCAGAUAAACAUGAAAAAGGAUCAAUAUGAAACAAACAUCUAGAAUUAGGGUUUUAUCUGACAGAAUUCCACGAGCUUUGGUGUUUAUCUAUUUCUGCAGGGGUUUAUCAGAAAAUAUGGAGAGAAGGCCCACAUGUCAUGUUUACAACGAGAUAAUUACGUGUCGCGCAAUUUUCCUCAAUCUAGAAGGAUCCAGAAGCCACGGGAACGAACGGGACGCGAUUCGGGCUCGGGGGCUGGGCGGCCGCCCACCCUCCUUGGGCGCCCGCCCAGGUGGAGAGUCCAAUCAGGACUCUGCUUCGGGACAAUCCUCCACCGACCUAAAGGAUCAAUCUAAACCAUACAAUCUAUGUCGGUUUGAUCCAAUGGCUCACGUUCACUUGAGGGGACUAUAAAACCAGACCCCCUGGCCCCUGGAGGAGAGGAGGAGAAAUCAUUAUUCAGAGGUAGCCAUCAAAGUUAGGGUUUAGAGCUUCUCUCCCACAGAGAAUUAGAAUUAGCUACUCCCUAAUCUUUCAAGUUUAGAGGUUGAUUAGAUAGCAAUUAGAGAAGUAGAGCACUACGCUCUGGAUUCGGAUCUUCGGUAAUAAAGAUUGGUAUUAUUCAUAUCUUUCUCUAAUUCUAUUGUUCUAAUUGCAUUAUGUCUUUAAUUAUUAUGUUCUUAGUUUGCUCUAGUUCUAUAUUUGAUAUAGUUCUAAUUGAUAAUGAGUUUAUGUAUAAGUUUGCAAAGCGCUUAGCUCUUGUCGCGAGGGAGUUAGGUGAUAGAUCACAUGUAAGCGUGGUGCUUAGAUGUUAUUUAUCUGCAAAUGUAUCCUAUUGGCCGAGUCGUGUGGUAGUUCGCGAUAGUGACAGCUUCGUUGAUUCUUAUAUAGUCCACCCUCCGUUGAUAGGACAGGCAGAACCGGUAUUGUGGAGUAAGUCAUGCGAUGUUCUGAUUUACUUUAUCAAUGUUCCUUAUACAUGAAUGAAGAGUCUUUUAUGCUAUAUAUGAUCUUGUAGAUAACUAGAGUAGAUUAUGACUUAGUAGUUAGUAGAUAACUUAGAAUCCAUUCUCUAGCUAAUCCGACAUCACCUACAUAUAUGAGGAGUAGUCUAUUUUCUAAUCGCUGUGCUCUUUAUCCCAUGAACUUACACUUUAUUAUCAUUAUCUUUAUGGUUUACCCCCUGCUAAAGUAUGUGACUGUGUGACGAGUUUCUCAUUAGUAAUCAUGUUCUUGCAAGUUUAUCUCUAGUCUAUGCCUUGAUAGAUUUUGCCCAUUGAUUUAAUUCCAUUUUCCUUAGAUCCCUAAGCAAAAUUAUAAAUAACGAUACCUGGAAUACUUAUCCUGGUGAAAUGCUACAAUGAGGUGUUUUAUCUGUGCGCUUGCGGAUAGAAUAGAUUAUUUUCUAGAGAGCCUUUACAUUUAUAAAUACCUUUGUACACUCUGGCGCCAUGCUAGGGAUGACAACCUAGUAUCUAAGUGGUGUUAGCUAGUGUCAACACCGCCCCAGGCGCCCACGUCCACAUCGGCCCUGGUGUCGACCUCUUCCCAGCCGCUGGCGCAGGGCGUGCCGCGCGCCGUCUUCACACCCGAGCAAACGACAUCCACGAUCGUCGAAAUCAGCCACGGCUUGGCUGAGCUGCGGCUGACGAUGAACACCAUGCUGCAGCUUUACAACAAUUCGACGCCGCAGUUUGGCGCACCGCCGCAGCAGCCGCUCCUGACGCAGUCGUCCCCGUCGGUCGCGUUCCACCACACGGCGCCGGUCUCCUACCCCUACGGGAUGCCCGCCGACGCCGGGUUUUCGACGACAACAGCGUCUACUUCGUCGUCCGUUCCGAUCCACCAGCUCCGUUUUCUGUCAUCGUCGUCCCAGAUCCCGCCAUGGGCGCUGACCUACUCUGGGCCGGUCUACACAUCGGCACCCCAUCGGUUGCACAUGCCCGAUCAUGGCGCACCGUCGGUGUCAGGCACCCCCUACAGCAGCGUGGCGCCCUCGGCUCCACCCUACUAUGACCCCGGCUACGAGGGGUGCCCCUGCAUCUACGCAGGGCAACGGUUCGCCUAAGUUCCACAAGAUCGAGUUCACGACGUACGACGGCUCAGUCGAUCCGCUGAACUGGCUCACGCAAUUUGAGCAAUUUUUUUGGGCCCAACUCACGUCGGCAUCUCAGCGCACCUGGAUGGCGUCCUAUCACCUCACACGUGACGCCCAGACAUGGUACUAUGCCCUCGAGGAGGACGAGGGCCAGCCGCCAUGGGAUCGAUUCAAGGACUUAUGUCGUCUUCGCUUCGGACCGCCCAUUCGUGGUACUCGCUUGGCUGAGCUGGGCCAGCUGCCCUUCCACUCCAUGGUGGAGGAGUUCGCAGGCUAUUUUCAGGCGGUCCUGGCUCACACCCAGGACAUCUCCACCCGCCAGAAGGCGGAGCUCUUCGUCGGAGGACUGCCUAACCACAUCGGCGUGGACGUGGAGAUGCACGACCCUAGCGACCUCCAGACAGCCAUGUACUUGGCACGCGCCUUCGAACGCAAGGCCUUAGCUCUCGCAGCACCAGCACAGCGUGGCGCUCGCCCUCCCUAGCGGCCGAUUGCUUCGGCUCGCCCCACCGCUAGGGGAGGACCUCCAGCCGCGGCGCCCACGCCUACUGCGCUGACACCGACCGACACCGCUACACCCGCCCGCACCUUUCGUCGCUUGACACCGACGGAAAUGCUCAAGCGCCGUCGCCAGGGACUUUGUUACAACUGCGACGAGUAGUAUGUGCGCGGCCACGUCUGCCCACAUGUCUUCUACCUGGAGUCCUCUGACUACAUCGACGACGAUCUAUUCACUGCGACGGAGGACGCCGCAGACGCCACUGUCGAGAGCCCCAUGGCGCCACCAGACGGCGUUGCUGCUCGUGCUCUAGUUGUCUCCGUGUACGCUCUUGCAGGGAUCCACACCUACCACACCAUGCUGCUGGCCAUCACCAUCAAUGGGGAAUGCCUACUCGCGCUACUGGACACUGGCUCCACCCACACCUUCCUCUAGGGCACGGUCAUGUGAAAGCCCUAGUUUGGUUUUGGAUAAUUGAUGAAACCCUAGUACUAAUCUCUAUACUAAGUGUGUGUAGACUUAAUGAGGUUGGUAUAUGCCAAGUGAUGGAGCAAGUGAUGAUCAUGGUAAUGAAGGUGAUGACCACAAGAUGAUCAAGUGCUCAACUUGGAUAAGAAGAAAGAGAAAAACAAAACCCUAUGGAGUUCAAGGCAAAUGUAUUGCUUAGGGUUUUGGUUUUGGUGAUCAAGACACCAUAGAGGGUGUGAUCACAUUUAGAAUAGAUAGCCGUACUAUAAAGAGGGGAAUUCUUUGGCUAAACGGUUAUCAAGUGCCACUAGGUGUCAUUGUUCAUGUGCAUGCAUUUAGAACCUAGUGAGCUAACUUUAACUCCUUCAAAGAAAAUGUUUGUGAAAAUGCUAACACACGUGCACUUGUUGGUUUACACGUUGUGGUGUUGGCACACUUUGAGAAGGAGGUGGAGUUUGAAGAGUAGAGAGAGGAUGGGUUCGGAUUCGGCGCUUUUCGAGAAAAUGAAGUGCAUAUUUUCUAUUGCGCCGGUGGGAAAUUUGGAGAAGUCGUGGGAGUGUUUCUCGCUGAGGAACACUCACCGGACGCUGGCUCAGAGGCACCGGACGCUGUGUCUGAGCGUCCGGUGUGCAGGCUGCCUGACUCGGUUAGGGUUAGGCACCGGACGAUAGGCACCGGACGCAGCUUGGAGCGUCCGGUGGUGCGCGUCCGGUGUGCGGGCGUUUUGCGACCCUCUCUGCACAUGGGUCCGGUGAGCACCGGACGCUAAGGGUGCGUCCGGUGGCUUGCGUCCGGUGACCCUGCGAGUUUGCGGAGCUAUCUGCGCAUGAGUCCGGUGAGCACCGGACGGUCCGGUGCUAACUUGCUCAGCGUCUGGUGCUCUGCAGGUGACCGUUAGACUCUGACACGAGCGUUUCAAAAGGUGACACGUGGCUGACGUUGGAGCACCGGACGCUGGUGCUGAGCGUCCGGUGCCCCUUUAAGAGCGUCCGGUGACCCCGUGUUUUGCCCAGUGAAAGAGCCAACGGCUCUAUUUGUUUGAUGGGCUAUAUAUACGUGUUUGUCCGGCUUGGGGCUCACUCUCUUGGCAUUCUAACAUACUUGACAUCCUUGUGAGCCUAAGCAAACUCCUCCCACUCAUCUCCUUCAUAGAUUAUACAUCUUUGUGAGAUUGGGAGUGAUUCCAAGUGCAUUUGCUUGAGUGAUUGCAUCUAGUGGCACUUGGGGAUCGUUCUAGCUGCAGUUUUCUUGUUACUCUUGGUGGUUGCCGCCACCUAGACGGCUUGGAGCAGCGGAGGAGGAUUGGCACGAGUUGGUGAUUGUUCGUGGCCAUCUCCCGGUGAUUGUGAGGGGUCUUGUACCUUCCCCGGCGGAGAGCCGAAAGGUAACUCUAGUAAAGUGCUCGUGUCAUUGAGUUACCUCACUUGUAGGUAGGUUCUUGUGGUGUUCUAGUGAGGACGAGGUUCGUGCAACACCUCUUAGCCACCGAACCACCAAGUGUUGGUCGACACAACGGGGACGUAGCGUGCCGGCAAGCACGUGAACCUCGGGAGAAAAAUUGUGUGUCUCCAUUGUGAUUGUUCAUUGGAUUUCUCUCGGUGAUUGGACUUCAUAUUAUUGAUUGGUUCAUCCCCUCUACGCGGCGGUAUAAAAAUCAAACUAUCUCUUUUUACAUUCCAGCAAACUAGAGUAGCUUACCUACUUGCAUAGAAACUUUUAGGUAGCUUUCUAGUGUAAGUAGUGACAUAGCUCUUGUGUGCCUAGUGAUUAUAUCAACUAGAAUUGUUGGAUAGGUGGCUUGCAAACACCCCAUUAGAGCUAGAGCAAAAAGCUUCGCUUUGUUAUUAACUAACCUCUUGCUCUAGUGAGUUUGUAGAAUUUUUAAAUAGGCUAUUCACCCCCCCUCUAGCCAUAUUAGGACCUUUCAUCAUGCGCCGCCUGGGGCUUGUUCCGCGUGGCGGCAACAACCUCCGUGUCACUGUCGCGAACGAGGAGCGUUUUCCAUGCAAGGGGAUCGCCUGAGAUGUGCCCGUCCUCAUCGGCGGCGAGUCCUUCCCCGUCACGUGUGUGGGGCUCGCCCUCGGCUGCUUCAACUUCAUCAUCGGCGUGGACUUCCUAGGGGCUUUGGGACCUCUUCUGUGUGACUUCGAGGCCCUCACCGUCUCCUUCUAGCGAGGCGACCAGCGCGUCACGUGGCAGUGCAUGGGUCCCCCAGGUGCUUCUUCACACCAACCGCGCCUGGCGGCGGCCACGGCCGACCAGCAGCGGCCACUGUUGGACUAUACAGCAGCACGUGGCCAUCUUCGACGAGCCUCGUGGUCUCCCGCUCGUGCGCUCCUACGACCACCGCAUCUACCUCCUACCGGGGACCGCGCCGGUGGCGGUGCGGCUCUCUCGAUACCCGCAGCUCUAGAAGGACAAGCUGGAGCGGCAAUGCGCCGCCAUGUUGGAGGAGGGCAUUAUUCGUCCGAGAACGUCACCAUUCUCCACCCCCAUGCUGCUCGUCAAGAAGUCCGAUAGGUCGUGGCGCUUCUGCAUCGACUACCGCGCGCUCAACGACAGGACGUCCAAGGACAAAUUCCUGAUCCUGGUGGUCGACAAGCUCCGCGGGGCACGUUUCUUCACCAAGCUCGACCUCCGCUCGGGCUAUCACCAAGUGCGCAUGCACCCGGCGGACAUCGAGAAGACCGCUUUCCACACCCACCACGGCCACUUCGAGUUCUUGGUGAUGCCGUUUGGGCCCCCAACGCCCCGGCAACGUUCCAAGCCCUGAUGAACGAAGUCCUCCGGCCUUUUCUUCGCAGGUUCGUGCUGGUAUUCUUCGAUGACAUCUUGAUCUACAGCUCAUCGUGGUCCGAGCACCUCCAGCACGUCGUCCUCGUCUUCUCCGCUCUGAGGGCUCACGGCCUCUACCUCAAGAGGUCCAAGUGCUCCUUUGGGGCACUCUCCGUUGACUACCUUAGGCAUGUCAUCUCUACUGACGACGUCGCUAUGGACAACGACAAGGUGGUUGUGGUCGCCGCGUUCACCUCGGGGCGUCUGUGGUUUUCUCGGCCUUGCAGGCUACUACCGCAAGUUCAUCCGUGACUUUGGCUCCAUCGCAGCACCACUCACUCGUCUCCUGCGCAAGGAGGCGUUUGCUUGGACGUCGGAAGCGGCAGCGGCCUUCGACACCAUCAAGAGGGCCUUGUCAUCAGCCCCUGUUUUGCAGAUGCCGGAUUUCACUCGCGAGUUCGUCGUCGACUGCGGCGCCUCAGGCACAGGCUUUGGCGCUGUUCUCCACCAGGGGUCGGGUCCCCUGGCGUUCUUCAGCAGACCCUUCGUCGCCCGCCACGUCAAGCUCGCGGCCUACGAGCGUGAGCUCAUCGAGCUAGUGCAGGCGGUCCGGCAUUGGCGGUCGUACCUAUGGGGACGCCGUUUCCUCGUCCGCACCGACCACUACAGCUUGAAGUUUCUGCUCGACCAGCGCCUUUCCAUUGUUCCGCAACACCAGUGGGUUAGCAAGCUGCUCGGGUUUGACUUCGCGGUGGAAUACCGCCCCGGCCGACUCAACUCGGUGGCGGAUGCGCUGUCCCGACGCGACGAGGAUGCAGUUGUAGCGCUCGCCUUGUCCAGGCUGUCCUUCGCCCUCUACGAUGACAUUCAGGCAGCCACUCAGGUGGACCCGGUGGCACGCGGCCUCCUGCAGCAGCAGGCCGCUGGGACGCUGGUGGCGUCCUGGACCAUCACGGAUGGCUUUCUCCUUCAUGGGAAACGCGUCUACGUUCCUGACCUGCAGGACUUGCGCCAUCAGGUGGUGACCCUGGCACACACUACAGGGCAUGAUGGUGUCCAGAAGACCCUUGUGCGUCUGCGCAGUGAUUUCUACAUCCCCGGUGACCGCAAGCUUGUGCAAGACUAUGUCCGCACGUGUGGUGUGUGCCAGCGCAACAAGACGCCCACGACACAGUUGGCCGGUUUACUACAGCCCCUGGAUGUGCCUUCCCAAGUUUGGGCCGACAUCUCCAUGGAUUUCAUCGACGCCCUUCCCAAGGUCCAUGGCAAGUCGGUCAUCUUGACGGUGGUGGAUCGCUUCUCCAAGUACGCGCACUUCAUCGCUCUCAGCCACCCCUACACGGCCGCGUCAGUGGCCCGUGCUUUCUUCGAGGGGAUUGUGCGGCUUCAUGGCUUUCCCACCUCCAUUGUCAGCGACCGCGAUCCGGUUUUCACCAGCCACUUGUGGAGGGAUUUGUUUCGCCUUACAAGUGUGAAACAGCGGCUCAGCACGGCCUUUCACCCUCAGAUGGACGGCCAGUCUGAGGUUGUCAACAAGGUGAUCGCCAUGUACUUGCGUUGUGCGACCGACGACCGGCCGCGCUCAUGGGUCGACUGGCUACCGUGGGCAGAAUACUGCUACAACACGUCGUACCACAUGGCACUUUGCGUGACUCCAUUCGAGAUUGUCUACGGCCGCCCACCACCUCUCCUUUUGCCCCACCAAGAGGGGGCGGCUGAGACGGAGGAUGCAGACGUCAUGCUCCGGGACCGCGACGCAUUCCUGGUCGAGGUCCGGGAGCGCCUCCUCCAGGCACAGCAACACGCCAAGGAGCGCUACGACGAGCACCAUCGGGAUGUGGACUUUGCUGUGGGCGAUUGGGUGCUGCUCCAACUUCUUCACGCCCCACACACACACGCUCGCGACGCCGGCCAAGGGCAAGCUUCGUCCUCGCUAUGUUGGUCCGUUCCGUGUGCUAGAACGCAUUGGGUCGGUGGCCUAUCGUCUACAGCUGCCCGAGACUACACGCCUCCAUGAUGUUUUCCACAUCGGGCUGCUCAAGCACUGGAGUGGUGACCCUCCUGUGACGCCGGCGGUGGUGCCACCAGGCUUCGAGGGGCGCCUGCUUCCUACCCCGGAGAAGGUUGUGCGCGCGCAGCUACGCCGUGGACAGUGGCAGCUGUUGGUCAAAUGGCGCGGCCUUCCGGAUGAUGCUGCGACAUGGGAAGCUCUCGACGACUUCAAAGCCCUAUACCCCGAUGUCCAGCUCAAGGACGAGCUGUUUGUCGACGCGAGGAGAGAUGUUAUGACCGGCGUCUAGUAUCAAAGGAGGCGCCGGCCCAUUAGUGGCUAAAGCUACCAUCGGCCAGGGGUUUAGGCACAGGAGUUAGAGGCUAACAGCCCAUAUUUAUCUUUAUUUGUUUAUUUCCAUAAUUUAAGUAAUUAUUCAUAUAUAGGAGUUGUAAUUCUUGUGGACAGAAUUAAGCAAGAGUAAAUCUUAUUACUCGGCUUCCCUUGGGAGCCGGAAGUUUGCCCUAGCCGUCGCCUCCGUUCUCUUCUUCCUCGCACGACCACGGCGCCCCGCCGCCGUGCCACGCACCCAGCCCCCCAACACACAUACAACCUUCGCUCGACCAAGGGAAGGGUACAGGUCCGUAUCAGAUUCUUUGCUUGCAAUUCCUAAAUGUGGAUCGUGAUUUACUUGACAUUCCAAAAACACGUGUCAUGACUUAUGAAUACUGCAGAUCUCUAGUUGUAGUCUCAGUCUAGUGUACUGUCAUCUCAGGAAUUCUGUGUUACUGGAAACGUUGAACUAAACCCCUGCACCUCUUUUCCAUCUUGCGUCAUGCAUGCUUGUGUAUCCCUGAAAAAUCUUUGAGCAACUUCAGGUCUACACAUCAAACUGAUACACUUUCACAAUAUGUAUGCAGCUGAAGAAAUGUGCAGGGAGGGCGCAUACUGGGGUAACUAAUUGACCGAUUUGUGCCUUUUUGUCGCUUCAAACCCACAUAAUUUGUUUUGGCUUCUUUCCCUUCUUCAUUUAUACUCUGACUAAUGUACAAUAGUAUAAAUGUGUGAUAUUAUUGUACUGUCGUGUAAGAUGCUAUUAGUCAUAUUAUUGUAAGGCAAGCACUUCAAAGUUUUGUGGAGCUACUUCUCAUAUGCAAUGAGGUGGUUGUAUGGGGCAACAGAGAAAGUUACAUAGAAAAUGACAAACCCUUUCACGACACAUAGUCAUACCAUAUUUAUUUUACUUUGAGCCAAUGGUGAAUUCAUGAAUCUCGAGAUAUGUCGGCUCAGUACUUCAAAGGUGCUCUUAGGGGUAGGGUUUGUGUAAAUUUGCUCAUAGGGAUGAGUAUGCGUACGUAUUGUGAGCAUCUGUGUUGUAGUGUGUAAUUCUAAAAAAAAGGACUGAGCUAGUGAAAAUGAUCUUUACCUCCAUGGAUCUUAUUUCUGGGUUCCCCCUGUUUUUACUGUAACUUUUACAUGUUGCUCUGGACACAUCCAAAGUGAUUGCGUUACUCUUGGAUGCAUAUUCAGGCUUGACACCAACACAGUGAUCCAUCACUUACUAUGGGCCGUAGUCAGGGACCAAGUAGACCUGUUAAACAUGUUUACAUAGCAAUGAUAGUGUUUUUGAAAUUUUCUAGUUUUUUUUUAAAUCUAUUUUUCUAGAGCUAAAUUUAUUUUUUGAAGCGGAGAUCUAAGUAUAUUAUGUAGAUUUUUCUAUACUAUUCUGUCUCUAUAAUCUUUUUUAAGAAUUAAAUGCUUAGAGACAUCUUCUGUGGUACCAAUUUUUUAACUAAAAAGGAUAAACCCAAUUUUAUCUCUCUGACGCCAUGUUAACUAUUGCUGUCCAAAACCAUCCAUAGUGGAAACAAACAAUUUUAAAAGUUAAGGAGACCUAAAAAUCUGAUCUUAAAAAAAAAUAUAAAGCAAAAACUCACUAGCCUAUUUUUCUUAUUCCACAGCCCUCCACAUCAUCGUUCCCUCCUCAGUUAUUGUCCGUUCGAUUUCAUCAGCUAGUGUCUACCGUGCAUACCAAACAGGCAACAUCAAUAUACUACUCCUACGUUCACAGUAGAGUUUAGGUGCUUCUUCUAUGAACUGCCCCAUCCGUUCCAAGAUGACAGAAGCCAAUGAUCAAGACUCAAGAGGCGGAUCCUUUUCUGCACAAUUCUACAGCAGCUGGCAGCCAGGCAUAAUCACAAACUUUUGUCAUCCAGUUUCAAAGCUUCCUCUCAAUUCUUGCUGAAUCCCAUCCUAUACAAUUUUGUUAAUUUUUAAGUAAAACGAAUUAUUUUUAAUUUUUUACUUGCUAUUUAUCCAGUGUUUCUUUUAGUUUUUGCUGACAUGAACCUCUGACAUACAUCAUAUACAUUGUAUAGUAACUAAAUAGUAUUUUUUUUUUCUCUCAGGCUCUUUAUCCUGUUUGAUGAGAAACAUCAUCUCGAUUUCUACUUGCUCUCAACUGUUGGUGUCCCACAUCCCUAUAUGAGUUUUUUUUGUAGAAUGUAUGGGUCGAUCCCGUUGCAGUUGCGUGAUGUACGUACACAUGCUAUUGUGCAAAUUAUAAAUAAUGUCUUUCGCACUUCCUACCCUAAUGCAUUUGUCGUUCACAAAAUAUCAUUUCUUAAACUCCUGCAGCAACCCGUAAGGUAUUCAUCUAGUUCUAUAAAAAAAGGGAUCGUACAAUCUUUGUCAAAAUUAAAAUAUACAUGCAAACCACAUGUGCCACUUCAUAAAACAACUACGACAUCAAAGACAUCAAAUAUAUUUAACUCUAUACGCAUGUGCGUUUGAUAUUUCAGUUCCCUAGCUACCGGCGCCAUUUUAGCGGGCCACCUUGCUAGUUACAUAUGAAUGUAGGUUGAUGGACAUGAUAAUAUAACUAAUAAUACAAUGCAUCGGUAAUAGUCUUACAGGCAGCAGAAUGUACCAACGGUUGCAUUUGCCGUAUUCACGCAUAGAUUUCCACACAAGGAAUGUGACUGACAAGGUGCCAGUCGGGCCCUUCCCCUCGCUUGUAACGCUCCGCCAAACCAGGGCAACCACUAAUGACCAAUCUCUCAAGAGCGGUUAGGCGUUGUAUGGAUUGGGGCAAGUAUUGAAGGGCAGGGAAAUGCUGGGUAUAAAGCGAACGAAGCGCAGAGAGUUGUCCAAUCCACUCCGGCAGCACCGUCAGUGCAGGACCUGAUGACAGGUCGAGAUGUUCAAGCGAGGUGAGGUUCCGCAUGCUCUCUGGUAACUGUGUCAGGUCAUUGCACGUGUCAAUAUACAACUCUUUCAGCUCAGUGAGGUGCUGCAGCAGUUCCCAGCCAGAUGAUGAUCCUGUAACUUCGCUUAGCCAUAGACUCUUGAGGCGAGGGACCAACGCAUGCAUGCUGGGCAGCUGAUGGGAGAACCUUCCAGUGGAUAGCAACUGCCCAUUGGUUCUGCCUAAA